Molecule: transfer RNA, 67 nt
Filed under: Marmota monax (woodchuck)
Lineage: Eukaryota; Metazoa; Chordata; Mammalia; Rodentia; Sciuridae
Description: tRNA.Ala
Source: RNAcentral
GGAAUGUGGCUCAAGCGGUAGCGCGCUCGCCUGGCAUGCGUGCGGCCCAGUUCGAUCCUCAGCACCA